ACAAACAGAAACUGUGUCUGGUGACUCACUAACAGGAAGAGAACAUUCUUUCUUACUAUCAGUUUCUGAGCAUCUGCUGGAAGUGUUGCUGUUUCUGGACUACGACAUCCUGUUGUAGCCCUAUUCAUCCUCACACUGACCCUUCCGAGCUGGCAUGGAUUCAGGAGUCAAACAGAAAGCUGGGUGCUGUGGCCUGGUUCUGGAUAAAAACUUUCAUGGAGUGAUGGGUGUCCCAUAUGCAGAUGCAUUCCAAAUGUGUAAGGCAAGCAGUCUCCAGGGAAGUUCAACAGUUGUACAACAAACCAGACAUUUUUGUGGGUUACAAGGUUACAAGCUGAGCCCUGGAUGCCCUGUGUUGACAGCAGAUAGAUCCCACGUCUGUUUCUUGGCCAAAACAGCAAAGGUUUCAAAAUAUACACAUACAAUCAGGGACUACAUGAAAUGGUUCAGACACUAUCUGUUUUGCCUGAAGAGAGGAGUGUAUUUCCCAGGUAACCCCUCAAAAUUAUGCAAAUGGAGAAAUUUAUUAAAUGACUCUGUUUGAUUCGUCCCUGAUCUAUGGACUUAGCAGUGAUUCUUUGGCUUUCUUUCACUGCUAACAGUAAGAAGUACAGUUAGCACAGAAUAAUCUGCACAUUUAUUCCUGCCCAGAAGUUCAGUGCUCUUGCAGCCAGUGUCUUACCAGCUAGAGAUGGUCCCAAAAGUGCAAAUGGUGAACAGAUAUGACCAUUUACAAAUGCUGUAAUUUUGACUCCUUAAUCAUUCCUUUACUCUUGUUUCAAGCCUCCUUCAAUCUUUAAUUUUGUUUUUUACUUCUCUCCUUUUCUUCUCCCCCAUUAGCCUUUUGUAGGCUGUGCAAAAUUUCAGGAAGCUGAACAUGCUUUCUGCAUUUAUAAUGCCACUCUAGAUACUUGGUUUUAAUAAAUAAAAAAUAAUAUUAUACA
Molecule: long non-coding RNA, 944 nt
Filed under: Cyanistes caeruleus (blue tit)
Lineage: Eukaryota; Metazoa; Chordata; Aves; Passeriformes; Paridae
Description: lncRNA (ENSCCEG00000009623.1)
Source: RNAcentral